Molecule: transfer RNA, 29 nt
Filed under: Stuckenia pamirica
Lineage: Eukaryota; Viridiplantae; Streptophyta; Magnoliopsida; Alismatales; Potamogetonaceae
Description: partial tRNA-Leu
Source: RNAcentral
AAAAUCCGUCGACUUUAGAAAUCGUGAUG